GAUGAAGAACGUAGCGAAAUGCGAUGAGUAAUGUGAAUUGCAGAAUUCAGUGAAUCAUCGAAUCUUUGAACGCACAUUGCGCCCAUUAGCAUUCUAGUGGGCAUGCCUGUUCGAGCGUCAUUUCAACCCUUAAGCCCUGUUGCUUAGCGUUGGGAGCCUACAGUACUGUAGCUCCCCAAAGUUAGUGGCGGAGUCGGUUUCACACUCUAGACGUAGUAAUUUUUUCUCGUCUGUAGUUGAGCCGGUCCCCUGCCGUAAAACACCCAAUUUAUCAAGGUUGACCUCGGAUCAGGUAGGAAUACCCGCUGAACUUAAGCAUAUCAAUAAGCGGAGGA
Molecule: unclassified non-coding RNA, 335 nt
Filed under: soil metagenome
Description: partial contains 5.8S ribosomal RNA, internal transcribed spacer 2, and large subunit ribosomal RNA
Rfam family: 5.8S ribosomal RNA (bases 1-120)
Source: RNAcentral